This 840-nucleotide long non-coding RNA is filed under the name Zonotrichia albicollis (white-throated sparrow). Its description in RNAcentral is "lncRNA (ENSZALG00000001109.1)". Lineage: Eukaryota; Metazoa; Chordata; Aves; Passeriformes; Passerellidae. The record is from RNAcentral.
UUUAAACUGUUUAAUUGGGAUCUCAUGAUGAAGUCCUCAUUUUUCAGUUUUUCAUUGGGAUCUCAUGACGAAGUCCUCAGUUCUCACUGUUUCACUGGGAUCUCUGUGGUCACAAAGUCCUCGUGCUCACUGUGUCAUUGGGUUCUCUGUGGUGACAAAGUCCUCGUUCUCACUGUUUCACCCUCGUUCUCACUGUUUCAUUGGGUUCUCUGUGGUCACAAAGUCCUCGUUCUCACUGUGUCGUUGGGUUCUCUGUGGUCACAAAGUCCUCGUUCUCACUGUUUCACCCUCGUUCUCACUGUGUCGUUGGGUUCCCUGUGCUGACAAAGCCCUCGGACUUUUCACGGGUAUCUCGAUGGUCAUGAAGUCCUCAGCCAGCGUCACCUCCUGGCUGCCCAUGACGGCCUCGGCCUCGCUCCGGAGGGCUCCCAUGUCAUCCCCGCCGCGGUACCGCUNGAGAUCCCACAGGGAGAUAAACCCACUGAGAACACUGACAACUGAGCGGCACGCUAAUUUAAUCCAGGUUUCAUUAGCAGUCAGGAUCACCGGGUGAUUUGUACCCAGGCUUUGAGGAGAGGGGAGCAGGCUAAGCCAGGACACAGGGUCUGAUAGAAAAGAGGCAGCUGUAAUUUGUUCUAAAACGCCAAAAUACACUAUAAAUGGAAAGUGCAGCAACUCUGCAUAACCCAGCGCUGGGUGUGUGAUGUGCCCAAGAGCAAUCCGUGUUUGAAUCCACAGCAGUGACCUGGCUUUGAGUGCAGACCCAGAGCCUGCAGCUCUCCUGAAAGGAGCAUCCCCUCCCUGGGCUUUCCCUGUGGAAUAAAUGGCAUUGGAAUUGCA